UACGAAGGGGGCGAGCGUUGUUCGGAAUUACUGGGCGUAAAGGGCGCGUAGGCGGCGACUCUAGUCAGAUGUGAAAGUCCUGGGCUUAACCUGGGGACUGCAUUUGAUACUGGGUUGCUUGAAUUCGGGAGAGGAUAGCGGAAUUCCCAGUGUAGAGGUGAAAUUCGUAGAUAUUGGGAAGAACACCAGUGGCGAAGGCGACUUACUGGACGAUUGUUGACGCUGAGGUGCGAAAGCGUGGGGAGCAAACAGG
RNAcentral lists this ribosomal RNA (253 nucleotides) under uncultured bacterium. RNAcentral describes it as "partial 16S ribosomal RNA". It matches the Rfam family "Bacterial small subunit ribosomal RNA", at positions 524 to 776 of the family's 1533-position model. The record is from RNAcentral.